Molecule: ribosomal RNA, 493 nt
Filed under: uncultured bacterium
Lineage: Bacteria
Description: partial 16S ribosomal RNA
Rfam family: Bacterial small subunit ribosomal RNA
Source: RNAcentral
AUUGAACGCUGGCGGCAUGCUUUACACAUGCAAGUCGAACGGUAACAGGUUAAGCUGACGAGUGGCGAAUGGGUGAGUAAUGCAUCGGAACGUGCCCGAUCGUGGGGGAUAACGCAGCGAAAGCUGCGCUAAUACCGCAUACGAUCUGAGGAUGAAAGCGGGGGACCGUAAGGCCUCGCGCGAUCGGAGCGGCCGAUGUCAGAUUAGGUAGUUGGUGGGGUAAAGGCUCACCAAGCCAACGAUCUGUAGCUGGUCUGAGAGGACGACCAGCCACACUGGGACUGAGAUACGGCCCAGACUCCGACGGGAGGAAGCAGUGGGGAAUUUUGGACAAUGGGCGAAAGCCUGAUCCAGCAAUGCCGCGUGCAGGAAGAAGGCCUUCGGGUUGUAAACUGCUUUUGUACGGAGCGAAAAGGCUCUCUCUAAUACAGGGGGCUCAUGACGGUACCGUAAGAAUAAGCACCGGCUAACUACGUGCCAGCCGCCGCCGUAA